This 388-nucleotide ribosomal RNA is filed under the name uncultured bacterium. RNAcentral describes it as "bacterial SSU rRNA". It matches the Rfam family "Bacterial small subunit ribosomal RNA", at positions 30 to 416 of the family's 1533-position model. The record is from RNAcentral.
AUUGAACGCUGGCGGCAUGCCUUACACAUGCAAGUCGAACGGCAGCACGGGAGCAAUCCUGGUGGCGAGUGGCGAACGGGUGAGUAAUGUAUCGGAACGUACCUUUCAGUGGGGGAUAACGUAGCGAAAGUUAACGCUAAUACCGCAUAUUCUGUGAGCAGGAAAGCAGGGGAGUCGCAAGACCUUGCGCUGAUUGAGCGGCCGAUAUCAGAUUAGCUAGUUGGUGAGGUAAAGGCUCACCAAGGCGACGAUCUGUAGCGGGUCUGAGGGGAUGAUCCGCCACACUGGAACUGAGACACGGUCCAGACUCCUACGGGAGGCAGCAGUGGGGAAUUUUGGACAAUGGGCGCAAGCCUGAUCCAGCCAUGCCGCGUGAGUGAAGAAGGCC